Long non-coding RNA from Apodemus sylvaticus (European woodmouse), 3910 nucleotides. RefSeq lists it as uncharacterized. The transcript has 2 exons. The record is from RefSeq and is a predicted model, not a curated record. Lineage: Eukaryota; Metazoa; Chordata; Mammalia; Rodentia; Muridae.
AUUCAUAAUUGUGCGCAUGUAGGUGUGCACGCAUACAUAUAUACAUAUCUAUGCAUGUUACAGUGUACUGGUUGAUGGCAAAGGACAGUUUAUAGGAGUCAGUUCUUUCCUUUUGCCAUGUGGGACCCAGGGACCAAGCUCAGUCAGUCAGGCUUGGUGGCCUGCCUUACCCACAGACCAUCACACAGCUUCCGACACAGCCAGGUCUGCGUGAGGCUAGCCCUUGGCAGAGGCCCCCCAGUGGCACUGUGGUUAAGCAGCCUAUGGCCUCUGCUUCUGUGUGGUUUUAAGUGUCUUCCUAUAGAGUCCUACUACACUGUCUGCGGGAAAGCUUAGGCAAGGAGGACGCUCUGGUUCAGUGUUCCUGCGGCCUACAUGAUACAUCUGUUAUGGAAUUUAUCACCAGGAAGAGGCUCUUGGCAACUGGCAUGGUGUUGUCAUCCGCUAGAACUCUACAGUAACCCGCUUUAGGCCUUUGUUUUGUCUUGACCCCAGAAAGCUCUCGCUAAGUAAUCGAAGUUCUGAGAGGCACCGUAUCCUCCUCCUUCCUCCAGGCUCCUGGGCCUGUGUGGCCCCCUUUCCGGGUAUUUAGUCUGUAACACCCCCAUGACAUGGCAGAUUGAACAGGCUUUAUGCUGUUGUAGUGCUGACACAGGAAGAUACACUGCAGUUGUGUGCUUCAAAGGAACCCAUGAGAAUAGGCUGCCGUCCUAAGUUCACAGACCCAGGAAGCACAUGGGGCCACGGGCCAAGUGAAGACCACCUGAAGAUGGGCCUCUGUGUGCGCGCCAUGGCCCGGACUAGUUCUCUACCUCUGGAUAUCUGCACUGCUUUCUGAAGGCAGCUGUGGGAGCUCCGCCAGCAGGUGGGUGCUGGAGCCAAUAUAGCUAAGCCAGAGGAGCCUCGGCACUGACCAGAGACCACAGAGCGGGCCUGGGUCGUUGUCUUCCUAGGAUUCCUGGGAAUCUGGGAUGAGCAAGAUCAGCAUGGGUUAAAUCUUCAUCUUCAGUAGGGCAGGCAGUGUGGCCAUGGGGAAGCCCCGAUGAACCCUGAGACUCUGGAUGAAGGUCUAUCGGGAUCAGCAUGGGUUAAAUCUCCAUCUUCAGCAGGGCAGGCAGCAUGGCCAUGGGGAAGUCCCGAUGAACCCUGAGACUCUGGAUGAAGGUCUGUCGGGAUCAGCAUGGGUUAAAUCUCCAUCUUCAGCAGGGCAGGCAGCGUGGCCAUGGGGAAGCCCCGAUGAACCCUGAGACUCUGGAUGAAGGUCUGUCGGGAGAAAUCUUACAGCAGUGCAAAGCGCAGCACAAGGCGCAGGCUAGCAGUCCCUCUUACCUACAUCUUGGCGAUGUCCAAAGAGCUACCGGCUCACCUGAUGUUACUGACUCAGACACAGGGCUACAAUGAGAGACAGUUUAAGGAUGCCACCAGGGGCAUUGACCCUGGCUGAUCUCAGAAGCCUGCUUUCUGUUGCCAGGAAGAGCUGGCAAGAUCCCCAAGGUGGGCAGGUGGCACUCAGGCAGAUAUAGACAGAGCUGUUCUAGUUCGGUAUUCAUGUAAAGGUUUCCCAGAGUCCAUGCUAUGCUGGAAGUGUCUUUUACUCAGGAUCUACAUGAUAAAAUAUGGAUCAAAUAAAAUCUGAGAUUUCUCCCCAGGCCCACCUGAAGGCUCAAUUGGGAAGUUCUCCAGAAAACGAAUUAUAGAGAAAAGUUAUUACAAACCUAGAGACAACAGUACCAGUACCCUCUCCUCUCCCUAGGCCAACUCCACCCAUCCUUCCAGGCCCUGCUCCCGGGUAUAAAGACAUCACAGACCAAAGUGGUUUCUUGACCCCAAUUAUGACUGCAGUUAUCCCUUAGGCUUCCAGUGCUGAGCCUUUUCCUGUCAGUGGUGGACAGAUAAACUUAGGAUAAUGGGUUGCAACCCAAACCUUUAUUAGCAAAAUAAACAUUUCCAGGACAUGGGGGUUGCAGUCAGAACAUAGCUCUGGGUUAUUUGCAUAGAUGGAGUUUCCCCUGAGGUAUCCUCCUUUUCCCAAGGAGCAAGCCUCAGAACACUGCCUUCUUGGCCUUUCUUAUCAGAGUCCUUUCCAGUAGCCACAGAAUUCUGGCUAUACCCAUGCCAGCCCCUACCUGUGGCCAAGAUGGCCACCCACCCAGCCCUGUGCAGUGGUAGAGCCCCCUCCCUGGUUGGGUUGCAGACAGACAAAUACUAGAAUUCAGUGUGUGAAGGAGGUGCACAAGGAGAAAUGAAUUUCAACUUCCUUCAUUCACAUGCAGGAGACAGGAAAUCCCCAGAGCAAGGGGGCAUCCUGAAGGGAUGGAUUUUCUUAGUAUAGACAGAAGACAGCAUGGUGGGCAGGAAAGAAGGCUCAAUGGCUAGAGCACUUUCUGUUCUUCGAAAAGACACAAAGUUGGUUCCCAGCACCCACACUGAAAUAAGUACUUCAGUGAUCCUGUAAGUUCAGAUCAGGGGAUUUGAUGCCUAUUUCUGGUCUCCACAGACAUCUACACAUAUACACACACAGAUUUAAUUUUUUUUUCUGAAAAAAAAAAAAGACAGCAUAGAAAAUGUUACUCUUUUAUUAUUUCAAGGAGGUAAUACAUAGCCCAGUACACCAAAGCAAUAGGGAAUCAGAGGCAGCAAAUGGCCAGUGGUUUUGGGACAAGCCUCAUGCUGCACCUCCCAGCUCCUGUCUGCCUCACAGCCUGGGACGGUGACACGAGCUUGCUAUGACUGUAGCAGUGGAUGGACGACCAAACUCAGCACCCUACGGACUGAGGGGCAGUUCCAGGAGUCAACAUCCAUCCACAGAAAGUGCCCGACCACCUGCGGCUACUGUGUGGCAGCAGCCAGCUUGCCUAGCAGUUGACUCUGUCUCAGAGCCUGGAGUGGACAGGGCGGGGACAGAUCCUCAGUGAUCAGUUAAGGUGAAGCCUUAGUAGUGUUAACACCCUGGAUGAGGGAAGUCAGCGCUGUCCUGGAGGGCUGAGCGGGAGGAAGAAAGGAGCCUGGGCCGCAGCACACCGGAGGAGGGCCUCUCCUGGGACAUGAUGGGGAGAGGCUGGGGCUGGGCAUGGGAAGCAGCUUCCUCUGGCAAGGAGUUGACCUAGAGGUUGGUUUUCCACUCAUAAUUGGUUACCUGGGUGUAGUCAUCAUACCAAGGACAAAACAAGUCUUGCUCAUACCAAACAUGGCCUCGGAGAGAGAUGUGACUCGUUUCUCCCCAGGUUGUGGGGAGGGCUCAAUCUAAGACCCUCCUCAUUCCCAGCCCCUGUCCUCUGCGAUGACUGGGGUGAAAGAGACAAACAUAAAUAUGCCCUUCUGGAGCCCAGUGCUCGGUUCCAGCGAGCUCAUACUGGCUGGACCCACAGCCCCACCCUUGUACGGAGCUGACAUGUAUACCAGAGAGGAUGCCCAUCUGGUGACUGAAUGGUGGUGUGUAGGUGGAGUCACAGCAGUGGCUGGGAUGCGGAGAUGCUCAGAGAUGCUCGCAGAUGCCUUCCAUUUCAGCACUGCGGGCCUGGCUGCUGGGGGUGGGGAGGCUGCUGCUUCCCAGCAUGCACUGCUCUCCAACCCAGCUUGCUACUUCGGCUCCCAGAGUUUUGUUUGGUUUGACAGGUAUGAAAAUAAUUUUAAAAAUCACACCAUGGUAGAUUCCAACCCAGAGCUGAUGGCUUUGUUUUGUUUGACAGGAAAGGACAAAGAAACCACAACUCCACAGUGGCCAAGGCUCAAGUAGCACAGAGCGUGCUAUACACCCAAACGGAGAAACCUUGUCGUCAUGAUGGGGGAGCUGGGGGAGCCAUGGGUCCUCUAGUCGGAGGCAGGAUCUGAGGUCACCUCAUCUUCACAUUCCUCAAAGCCCGGGACUGGCUUCUGCAGAAAGUAUGUGGUGGCCUGGAUUACCUUGUCA